This 581-nucleotide ribosomal RNA is filed under the name uncultured bacterium. RNAcentral describes it as "bacterial SSU rRNA". It matches the Rfam family "Bacterial small subunit ribosomal RNA", at positions 331 to 929 of the family's 1533-position model. The record is from RNAcentral.
CCAGACUCCUACGGGAGGCAGCAGUGGGGAAUAUUGGACAAUGGACCGAGAGUCUGAUCCAGCAAUUCUGUGUGCACGAUGAAGUUUUUCGGAAUGUAAAGUGCUUUCAGUUGGGAAGAAAUAAAUGACGGUACCAACAGAAGAAGUGACGGCUAAAUACGUGCCAGCAGCCGCGGUAAUACGUAUGUCACGAGCGUUAUCCGGAUUUAUUGGGCGUAAAGCGCGUCUAGGUGGUUAUGUAAGUCUGAUGUGAAAAUGCAAGGCUCAACUCUGUAUUGCGUUGGAAACUGUGUAACUAGAGUACUGGAGAGGUAAGCGGAACUACAAGUGUAGAGGUGAAAUUCGUAGAUAUUUGUAGGAAUGCCGAUGGGGAAGCCAGCUUACUGGACAGAUACUGACGCUAAAGCGCGAAAGCGUGGGUAGCAAACAGGAUUAGAUACCCUGGUAGUCCACGCUGUAAACGAUGAUUACUAGGUGUUGGGGGUCGAACCUCAGCGCCCAAGCAAACGCGAUAAGUAAUCCGCCUGGGGAGUACGUACGCAAGUAUGAAACUCAAAGGAAUUGACGGGGGCCCGCACAAG